AUUGAACGCUGGCGGCAUGCUUUACACAUGCAAGUCGAACGGUAACAGGGUGCUUGCACCGCUGACGAGUGGCGUACGGGUGAGUAAUGCGUCGGAACGUGCCGAGUAGUGGGGGAUAACGCAGCGAAAGUUGUGCUAAUACCGCAUACGUACUGAGGUAGAAAGUGGGGGACCUUCGGGCCUCACGCUAUUCGAGCGGCCGACGUCUGAUUAGCUAGUAGGUGAGGUAAAGGCUCACCUAGGCGACGAUCAGUAGCGGGUCUGAGAGGAUGAUCCGCCACACUGGGACUGAGACACGGCCCAGACUCCUACGGGAGGCAGCAGUGGGGAAUUUUGGGCAAUGGGCGAAAGCCUGAUCCAGCCAUGCCGCGUGUCUGAAGAAGGCCUUCGGGUUGUAAAGGACUUUUGUCAGGGAGGAAAUCCCUAGUGCUAAUAACACUGGGGGAUGACAGUACCUGAAGAAUAAGCACCGGCUAACUACGUGCCAGCCGCCGCGGUAA
RNAcentral lists this ribosomal RNA (500 nucleotides) under uncultured bacterium. Its description in RNAcentral is "partial 16S ribosomal RNA". It matches the Rfam family "Bacterial small subunit ribosomal RNA", at positions 30 to 523 of the family's 1533-position model. The record is from RNAcentral.